ACUCCUGCGGGAGGCAGCAGUGGGGAAUUUUGGACAAUGGGGGCAACCCUGAUCCAGCAAUGCCGCGUGAGUGAAGAAGGCCUUCGGGUUGUAAAGCUCUUUUGUCAGGGAAGAAACGGUGGUGGCGAAUAACUACUACUAAUGACGGUACCUGAAGAAUAAGCACCGGCUAACUACGUGCCAGCAGCCGCGGUAAUACGUAGGGUGCAAGCGUUAAUCGGAAUUACUGGGCGUAAAGCGUGCGCAGGCGGUUGUGUAAGUCAGAUGUGAAAUCCCCGGGCUCAACCUGGGAAUUGCAUUUGAGACUGCACGGCUAGAGUGUGUCAGAGGGGGGUAGAAUUCCACGUGUAGCAGUGAAAUGCGUAUAUAUGUGGAGGAAUACCGAUGGCGAAGGCAGCCCCCUGGGAUAACACUGACGCUCAUGCACGAAAGCGUGGGGAGCAAACAGGAUUAGAAACCCCAGUAGUCCCAUG
This 473-nucleotide ribosomal RNA is filed under the name uncultured organism. RNAcentral's name for it is "partial 16S ribosomal RNA". It matches the Rfam family "Bacterial small subunit ribosomal RNA", at positions 335 to 799 of the family's 1533-position model. The record is from RNAcentral.